GGAACCAUUGGCGCUGUUGGAUUUUGAGUUUGAUGCACGGAUUUCGAGAAAAUCCAAAAAUACAUGUUUUAUAUGUAUUUAGGUGUUAUUUUCUUAUGUUGGAAAGAAGAGUGGAUUGUGUCGUGAAUCCGUGAUUGAUCGAGGUGAAGCGAAAUCGCAGCUUUGUUGUCUCCGUCGUGCUGAUCGCGAUGGCGCUGUCGGAUCGAAAAUCCGAUGGACGGAUUUUCGGGAAACACGAAAUGUUCGCUAAGGGGCCGAAGGUGGCAAAUCGGA
RNAcentral lists this long non-coding RNA (273 nucleotides) under Ananas comosus (pineapple). Its description in RNAcentral is "long non-coding RNA (ACOM_LNC010464)". The record is from RNAcentral. Lineage: Eukaryota; Viridiplantae; Streptophyta; Magnoliopsida; Poales; Bromeliaceae.